GGGCCCGCACAAGCGGUGGAGUAUGUGGUUUAAUUCGAUGCAACGCGAAGAACCUUACCAGGGUUUGACAUCCUGCGAAUCUCUUGGAAACGAGAGAGUGCCUUCGGGAACGCAGUGACAGGUGGUGCAUGGCUGUCGUCAGCUCGUGUCGUGAGAUGUUGGGUUAAGUCCCGCAACGAGCGCAACCCACGUCGUUAGUUGCCAGCAUUUAGUUGGGGCACUCUAGCGAGACCGCCGGUGAUAAACCGGAGGAAGGCGGGGAUGACGUCAAGUCCUCAUGGCCCUUAUGGGCUGGGGCUACACACGUGCUACAAUGGCAGUGACAGAGGGACGCUACUUCGCGAGAAGAUGCA
This 353-nucleotide ribosomal RNA is filed under the name uncultured bacterium. RNAcentral describes it as "bacterial SSU rRNA". It matches the Rfam family "Bacterial small subunit ribosomal RNA", at positions 917 to 1269 of the family's 1533-position model. The record is from RNAcentral.